CUCUGAGCAGAGAAGCUCCCACCGGGCACCUGGCCCUGCUCGGCUGCAGGGCCUCCCUGCAUCGGGCUGUGGCCGGCACCCGGGUGCGGCUUGUGUGUUUGUGAGACGCAGGGGCGGGAAGAGGGCUCUGGAGUGCGCGCUGCCCUCCCGGCACCCCGCCUCGUCUGUCCGGGGCUCCGGGGAGCGGGCCACUGCGCUCGCUUGGGGCGGUCGAGCCGCCCCUCGAGGGGCUGCGGGUCACCGUGACGCUGCGACGCUCAGGAAGAGAGGCUGUGAAGGGUCAGGAGCAGAGGACACUCCUCAGGGACACCCCGAGGCCAGGCGUCCCCAGCUGGGGUGUAUGUCCCCUGCUUUUGCUGUGCCUCUUUCCUUUAGUCCCUGGAGCUCACGCAGUGUCACCGUCCUGCCUGGGACUUUUCACGUAAGUUAAAUGCCAUCCCAGGUUCUGGAAGAUUCCUCAGAAAUCAUGGCGGGAAGCCCUGCUCCUCCUUCUGGCAGAUAUUGAUUCCAGGCGCUCUGGGCUCAAUACCAGCUGUCGUGGCCCCGGGAGUGGCCCGUCCUACCUGGGACCUGCGGCCCCUCUGCUCAGAAGCUGCAGCGCAGGGGGGGCCUCCUGAAGCCGAGACGGGGCUUUGGGCGCUCCCACCGCAGUGUCACUUGGACCCUGUGCCCGGCAGCCCCCUGCGCUCUGGUUGUCCAGUUUCCCAGCAUUGUGUCACCCAGUGCGUGGCCCAAGGUCCCUUUGGGAAGGGCUGGGGCCACUGCAGUGUCUACUUGCCUCGGUGGUGCCGCGUCCUUCUCCCUGGGGACCCGGCCACAUCCCCGGGCCCCAGUUCCGGUAUCUGAAAACCGGCUCGGGACAGGACCUGGGCAAGGGGUCAGGACCUGUUUAUGGGGGUGGCUGCCCUCGGCCUCCUGCUGUCCCGGCUCUUUCGAGUGUCCAUUUUAGACAGUCCCCUGGCCGCUUGCCUGUCCUUCCCACCCCCGAAGGCCGUGCUGUAGCGCCCACCCCCCGCUCUGUGGCCAGCAUCAGAGCUCCCGGUCAGCAGUGGCCAUCGUCAUCGUCCCCGGCUUGGCGGGCAGGCCCUCUGCCGCGGUUCCUGGGUGGCGGGGUGGGGGGUCCUCUCCUCCCUUCCCAGGCUCGGCGCCCCGCCCUCUUGGCCGGAGACUUGGCUCGGCCUGGCGGCCUGGCGGCCGGCUGCCCACCUCUUCCCGUCGUCCUGGACUCCGCUGCCUGCCGUGCUGAGGUCCCACAGCACAUGGCGGGGGGGUCCCCCUGUUUCCCGGACAGGGCACACCCGUGGGGAAGACCCGAGUCCCGUUUGGCUCCCUUGGGGGGAGGGAGGUGGGUGCAGUAGCUCCUUGUGGGGCGGGGGGAGCUGCGGGCCCAGAAGUUUCAGAGACACCAGGGGUCCGUCCGAUGCAGGGCCUCCCAGCCUCCCUGUCCCUGGUGUCGGGGGUGCGGGUUUUCCCGGGUGGGCUUUGGGCGCUGGUGUGACUGACCUGCUGGUGGGAGGUUCGGCCCCUCCUGUCGAACCCCACGGGGACAUUUGUGGGCUGCCUGAGCCGGGGCUCCCCCGGGCUCUGACUCUGCCCUCCGCCCUAAGCUUCCCAUCCCCCUGCGGUCAGCAGAGCCCAGAAGUCCCCCUCGUCUGUUCACCCCCAUGCUCCGCACGCCUGGAUCUUCUCCCCCAGCAGGAAAUUCCUCUCCACCUGCCGGCCCAGCGAAGGCUCCAGCGUGAACGUUCCAGCAGCCGGACUCUGGCCUUGCACCCGGGGCUGUCUGCACGUGGCCUGCCCCCGGGGCAGGGUCUUUGUUGAGAGCAGGGCAGGUGAUGCCGGUCCCAAACCCAGAGCCCACCUUAGCGGCUGCUGUCUGGACCAGGCAGAGCGCGACGGCUCAGGCUGGGCCGCUCGGGAAGCUGAUCCCGGGAGGGGGUUGGCGGUGCCACAGGCUGCCUGGGAGGAAUGGGGCAGGCUGUGCCUUCAGCCUGCUGUGUCGCCCUCACAGUUUCUGCCAGCCCGUCUGGGAGCUGCAGGGCAGGGACGGGCAUUAGAGGUCCCCGCCAUGGGCCCCGGCGGUCAAGCCUCGCUGUGCCCGAGGCCUCGCGACCCACAUCGACCGGCCGGCCGGCCGGGAGAACCAGCAUCCGGAACUGGUGCCCGAGGCGUGGCUCUGUGCUGAGUAGGCACGCGGGGCACCAGCUGCCUCGGUCCCGGCGGCUCCGCGCUCUGCCCUGCUGCGGGCCUGGUGGCAGGUACUUUGGCCUCGUGCCCCAGACCACCCCUGGGUUGGGGAGGGGACAUGCUUCCUGGGCUUUGGCUAAGUGGCCACCUCUGACAUCGGUGUGAGCGCAGCCUGAUGGAGGAGAGCAGAUCCGAGCACCAAACAUCAAAAGGCAAAGCACCUUUAUGUCCUCAGACAGCCAUCCUGUAGGAGGCGCCUUGUCAGCGCAGGGACACUGGUGUCCAUUGGCCUCUGUGUCACUGGGGCUGGGGGCGCUGGGGCAUCUUCCAGGCCGACCCGUGAACCGCAGAGUCUGAAACGAGGCAGAAAGAGGUUGGGUGAGCGUGAAGGGCGGGGAGCCGCUGACUCCGAGCAAGGGGCUGAGGAAGGGCCCGAGAGGAGGCCGUUUGGGGGGGUUCUCGACCUCAAAGGGUCUCCUUAGCUGGGGACGGGGGGAGGGCCCCCCGAAGGGCAUUCAGGGAACAGAGGCACGAUAUAUGGCUGGAGCAGAGAGUUUGUGCAGGCUCCCCAGGCUGACACUAUCAAUUCAUGUCCACUGAGCUGCCGUUGGCAUAGCACAUUUCGGGAUGUCCAUGUGUUGUGAACUUUCAUUCCUUGCCUAUAGAGGAAUGAGCGUGUGCGUGUGUGUGUCAUUCAUUGCCUGUAAAGAGAAGUGUGUGAGUGUGUGUGUGCACACGCAUGUGCAUGUGCACACACGGCUAUCCAGAUACAGCUGGGCAUGCUGCAGUCCUCUACAGAGGGCGCCCACCGGAAGCACAUGCCUUGUCCCACCAUCACAGACCAGGGAUUGAGCCGCAGCACCACCGCUGCUGGGGAGGGUUCCUGCAGAUCAGUUUACCUCUGAGCCUCCAUUUCCUCCUCUGAAGGAUGUGCGUCAUGUGAACACGUCCCCAUGAGGAGUCACCAUGUUUGCUGGUCUCCCUGAUGGGUGACAUGGGUUGGUUCAUGUGAGAGCACCUACUGGCCGUAGUGGUUGAAGAGGCAUCUCCGUUCUCCUGAAAGAGUCAGGAAGAGUGUGGGAAGGCAGGCUUGUGCCCCGAAGCCUGCAGCUGGGAGGCAGGCAAGCAGCGCAAAACUUCGAGCCUGGAAAGGAGGAGGAGGAGGACGGUGACACCACUGGCCGCCAGUCCCAAAGGCCCUACAGGAUGUGGUGUGGUUGGGGUCCUGGGGGGCCAUUGUUGGCUUUUGGCCCCUGGAGACAAUGGAGGCAGCCUGGACCAAGUCAGACUGACAGGGUUUGAGAACUGGGGGCCAUGGCAGCACCAGGACUCCAUAAAGCUGGGAGCCUCUUCCCUGAAGCGUGGGAGGUGACGUCAGGCUGCUGCCUCAGGGAAUACAGGUCUAUGACCUGCUCGCCACGGUGCCAUCAUCCAUAACGCUUUGGCAACCAAAAGUGUUCUCACCAGUUUGACCUAACCCUUUUGGUGGUAAAGCCAAAAAUGGAUGGCACGAGGCUCUCUUAGCAUCCUGAAUUUUCGUUAUCCCACUUGGUGUUCCUAGUCAUGCGGUUCACGUGGAGACAUCGGUGUGUUCGCUAGACCCCGCCAGGGUGUUACUGAUAUCCACUCUGUGCCCCCUGAAGUCUUUCUGAGUUCCCAGACUCACGUGGCCCCAAGGCUUUUGGACAAAGCAUUGUGCACACGUGAUACUAACACCAGUAAGAGCUGACCUGUUUUGAGGACUGACACAGGCCCAGGGUUCCUGCAUGUGUGACCUUCCACCAGCCUUCGGCCACCAGGGAUGCCGUGCCUGGGACAGGCAGGACAGAGGCCCAGCCCGAGGUGGACCUGGGUGUCGGGAUAUCCGCCUUCCUGCCCAACGGCCCCAGGAUGUGGAAUCUCCUCUGUUACCAUCCACAGUUUUCUGUGGUGAAAAUGGGAUGAACCUAGAGCUGAAAUCAGGAAGGGCCCUUGGCAAUCACGUGUGCACACUUGUUUUUCUCUCUGAAAAUCUGCCCCCCGUCUUGUGUCAGGAGAUCCUGAGCCCUGUGCAUCUCUCAAUGCAGUCACACACAGCCUGGGUCCACCCAGGUAGUCCUGGGCUGUUGCGUGAUUUAGGAGUCCCUGAUUUUGCAAUGCAGGUGAUGACACAGGAAGCUUGGCAGCGUCAGGCUCACCUGGUUGGGUUGCCUUAGCACGUUUUCACAGAGGGCCGAGUGGGAAACAAAUGCAGCCGGAGGAUCUGAGCCAAAAUGGCGCGGCACAGCAGCAGCGCAGGUUCCUCUGCUGGGCCGCCCCCUCUGUCUUUGAUACACCUGUAGCUGAUGAUAUUAUUAGGAUUAACCUGGGCCCUGAAUCGCAAAGCACAUGUUUCCCCUGAGCAAAGUUGGGUUUUUCUGCCAGCCCAUGAAUUGCAAGUCCUCUUGCCUGCCCAGCCCUGCUUCCGUGCCUUGGAGACGCUUCUUCUACCCUGGUUGCCUGUGAGAACAGUGCCCUGGCCUGGGUUUCUCCUUGGCAGUGUGGCAUCGUGGCUAAGAGGCCAGGGGUUAAGUUCCAGCUCUGCUGGCAGUGAGACCUUGAGCCAGGCAUGACCCUUCUCCAGCACGAGUGCCCACAUCUGUGUUCUGGACAUACCGACAGUGUGUAGUUCCUGGGGCAGCAGUGAGGAUUCAGUGACCUGAAAGGCUAGAAUGAACUUGGUGCCCAAAGAUGUUGUGGGGAAGAAAAGCAGGAAAAUUAGGUUGGGGUCUUUAGUCUAACUUUGGGCCCUCCCACCAGCUGACAAUGGCAUAAAAAGUGCCAAAUGCCAAAU
Molecule: long non-coding RNA, 4999 nt
Filed under: Sus scrofa (pig)
Lineage: Eukaryota; Metazoa; Chordata; Mammalia; Artiodactyla; Suidae
Description: lncRNA (ENSSSCG00000052859.1)
Source: RNAcentral